GAUGAACGCUGGCGGUGUGCCUAAUACAUGCAAGUCGUGCGGAAAGGCCCUUCGGGGUACUCGAGCGGCGGACGGCUGAGUAACGCGUGGGAACCGUGCCCCAAAAGUGAGGGAUAACGCACCGAAAGGUGUGCUAAUACCGCAUAUGGUCUUCGGAUUAAAGUAUUUAUACGCUUUGGGAGCGGCCUGCGUACGAUUAGAUAGUUGGUGAGGUAAAGGCUCACCAAGUCUACGAUCGUUAACUGGUCUGAGAGGAUGAUCAGUCAGACUGGAACUGAGACACGGUCCAGACUCCUACGGGAGGCAGCAGUAAGGAAUCUUCCACAAUGGGCGAAAGCCUGAUGGAGCAACACCGCGUGAAGGAUGAAGGCCCUCGGGUCGUAAACUUCUUUUAUGAGUGAAGAAUAUGACGGUAACUCAUGAAUAAGGGUCGGCUAACUACGUG
Molecule: ribosomal RNA, 445 nt
Filed under: uncultured bacterium
Lineage: Bacteria
Description: bacterial SSU rRNA
Rfam family: Bacterial small subunit ribosomal RNA
Source: RNAcentral